GAUGAACGCUAGCGGCAGGCCUAAUAUAUGCAAGUCGAACGGAUAUAUGUUUUUCGGAAUAUAUAUUAGUGGCGCACGGGUGAGUAACACGUACAUAACUUGCCCUCAAGCGGGGGAUAGCCUUGGGAAACUGAGAGUAAUACCCCAUAGAAUUAUUGGACGGCAUCGUUUGAUAAUUAAAACUACGGUGCUUGGGGAUAGAUGUGCGUCUGAUUAGCUAGUUGGUGAGGUAACUGCUCACCAAGGCGACGAUCAGUAGGGGGCGUGAGAGCGUGGCCCCCCACACGGGUACUGAGACACGGACCCGACUCCUACGGGAGGCAGCAGUAAGGAAUAUUGGUCAAUGGAGGGAACUCUGAACCAGCCAUGCCGCGUGAAGGAUGACGGCCCUCUGGGUUGUAAACUUCUUUUGGAUGGGGCGAAAAAACGGGAUUUAUCCUGGACUGACGGUACCAUCAGAAUAAGCACCGGCUAACUCCGUG
This 482-nucleotide ribosomal RNA is filed under the name uncultured bacterium. Its description in RNAcentral is "bacterial SSU rRNA". It matches the Rfam family "Bacterial small subunit ribosomal RNA", at positions 28 to 507 of the family's 1533-position model. The record is from RNAcentral.